RNAcentral lists this long non-coding RNA (483 nucleotides) under Pan troglodytes (chimpanzee). RNAcentral's name for it is "lincRNA". Lineage: Eukaryota; Metazoa; Chordata; Mammalia; Primates; Hominidae. The record is from RNAcentral.
GAGGUAGGAGUCGAGUACUGUAAGGUAUGGUGCUGGGUGCAGAUGCAGUGUGGCUCUGGAUAGCACCUUAUGGACAGUUGUGUCCCCAAGGAAGGAUGAGAAUAGCUACUGAAGUCCUAAACAGCAAGCCUAACUCAAGCCAUUGGCACACAGGUAUGGAGAGUCGGCUUGACUACACUGUGUGGAGCAACUUUUAAAGAAGCAAAGGACUCAGAAUUCAUGAUUGAAGAAAUGCAGGCAGACCUGUUAUCCUAAACUAGGGUUUUUAACGACCACAACAAGCAAGCAUGCAGCUUACUGCUUGAAAGGGUCUUGCCUCACCCAAGCUGGAGUGCAGUGGCCUUUGAAGCUUACUACAGCCUCAAACUUCUGGGCUCAAGUGAUCCUCAGCCUCCCAGUGGUCUUUGUAGACUGCCUGAUGGAGUCUCAUGGCACAAGAAGAUUAAAACAAUGUCUCCAAUUUUAAUAAAUUUUUGCAAUCCA